Molecule: long non-coding RNA, 2428 nt
Organism: Taeniopygia guttata (zebra finch)
Lineage: Eukaryota; Metazoa; Chordata; Aves; Passeriformes; Estrildidae
Source: Ensembl
GCAGUAAACAGCAAGUGCACAGUGCAGCUUCUCUAAGCCUCUCUUCUCCUGUCUCAGGGAGAAAGGAGUUCUCCAAGCCCUAGAGCCUGAGUCACUCGCUGUGUGAGCAUGAAUUAACCAGGAAUGUUCGAGAAUUAUUCCUGAAUAAUUCAUGAACCUGAAUUAAUCAUGCAUUUUCAUGAAUUAUUCAUGAAUAACUCAUGGAAAUGCAAGGUUUAUUCAUGCUCCAAAAAACCCAAGGCUUUUCCCCUUCUCUUCUGCUUUCUCUCCCUGUAAGAAACAGACCUGAAACAAGCUAAGGAAAAAAAUAAUAUAUGUAUAUGGGAAAAGAACAGGAAUAAUAAUGCUGAAACAAAACAACCAGGACCAAAGAAUGCAAAAGCUCUUUCUUUCCUUUGCAGUGGGGACAGCAGGUGGGAGCUUUCCAAGCCAGACAAAGGAGACCUGACAAGGACCUGUGGUGAAGGGACAAGCACAAGGCAAGGAAGUGUCCGGUCACCUCCUCUGCUGGAACAGGCAGCAGAGACCUGGAGAGACAGGAGACAUCUUGCAAGACUCAACACCUGGAGCAGUGCUAACCAGGUUGUGCUGGCCUGGGUAAAGCACAUCUUGUGAACACUCCCACCCACAGGAGAGCCCAGACCCCUGUGGUGACAUUCCCACACUGUCCCUCUGCUCCAGGUGGGCAGCCCUGAUGUCAGCCAAGCUCUACGUGCUCAUCACUGGCCCGACGGCAGCCGGGUUAUCGACAUCGAGAACAUCAAGGAGCCCCGCAAGCCCUUCCACCUCUGCACUGUGGGGGAGCAGGUCCUGGCCCGCUGCCCUGGAUUCAGUGGGCUGUACUGGGGUGUGGUGGAAGGCAUAAGUGAGCACAAAGGUAUUUUGGAGAAGAAGCUGCUGGAAGAUCGACAGCUCCUGGAGAAGUUAAAAGAAGAACCAGCUGUCCACAGCAUGAUGCCAUCCCCACCAAAAAAAUCCAGGAAAACCUUUCCAAAAUGGACCUCAGGGAAUGCAUCCAGGAAAUACCCCAGUGACAGGAACUCUCCUGCAAAGCCACUGCUGAGGGUGGCUGAGGCCAGCCUGCCCCGUGAUGCCAGCAGCUCCUCCAUCAAGGACAGGCGUGUCCUGGGAAGCGUGGCAGGGAGUCCCUGCUCACUGGCAGCUCCCCCCCACCCAGCCAGUGCCUUCACACCUCCAUCCACCUUCAUCACCAUGGCCAUGCCAGGGCCAGGGACUUCCCAGAGUGAAGAGGACAGGGCUGGCCCAGCUGCCAGAGAUUAUGUUGCCCUUCCAAUGAAGAGGAAGCCAGAUGGCAUCUUGUCCCCGUGCCAACAGCAGAUCUGUCUGAACAGCCGUGAGGAGCGCAAGAUUGAUGCUUUGCAAGAGAUGGAUGGCUUUGAAAGGGCUCACAAAAAUGUCAGUCCUGGUGAGAUGGAAAGGGUGGAGAAGAUGGAGCAGCUGGAAAGGAUGGUGUUGGACCUCCAACAGGACGUCCUCUCUCUGAAGAAGAAGGUGCAGAGGCUGGAAUCCCUGUCCUUCCAGGAGGAGCCCCACCGACAGCCGUGUGAGGUGGUGGAGCUCUUCAACGGCUACACCAAGGAGCAGCUCAAAGAGACCAUCAGGUUUGACCAGAAAAUCAGCACAGCCUGCAAGACUCUGCUCUACAAACUCUUCACCUCUGACUACAUCCAGAGCCACUCCAUCACAGGGCGCAGGGGCAACACCUUCCGGGAGGCCAAGCCCAUGAUGGACGAACGCUGCAUCAAAAUCAUCCGGGUGCUGCUGAAGCAGAAGUUUGGGGAUCACCUCAGUGACACCGUGAUCACAGAGAAGAUCCAGAACGUGCAGAAAGCCCUGAGGCAGAAGUUUAAGACAGAAUGUCUCUGAGGAGUGGAGAAUUUGGUGUCUCCUCCUGCCAUUCCGUGUGUGUCCCUGAGCAGCCUUCCCAGGAGAGAUGAGCCGAGCAGCUGCUGCUCAGUAGAUUUCCCCCAGGGAGCCAGCCCAAGUAAACCACGUGCUGAACACAGCUCAAACACUGCCAAACCUCUGCCUCCAUUAACUGAGCAGGAACUGGGCCCAGCUUGGCUCGGUUUUUGCACUCUACAAGUUCCUUCCCAUCCAGUCUGUGUGAGAACCUCACUGUGGGUGCAUGGAAUCACCUCUACGACUCUGAUGGUGCUCAAAGGCUUCAGGGCUCCAUUUGAGUCCAAGAAUGGGUCAGAAAGGUAGCCUUGUUCCACACUGCAGAAAUGUUGGCUUUGGGAUGGGGAAUCCAGCUGCAGACAGCCUGUGUCACCCAAUGUGGCUUCUCUCUCUCUGCCUCUGGUUGCCUCAUUCUGCCUGUGGGACAAUAUUUACUCUUUCCUCACAGUGAAUGUUUUAUUUCCAUCACUAAAGAAAGGCAGACUCAUUAAAAUGACACCUUAAA